RNAcentral lists this small nucleolar RNA (67 nucleotides) under Neotoma lepida (desert woodrat). Its description in RNAcentral is "Small nucleolar RNA U2-30". It matches the Rfam family "Small nucleolar RNA U2-30". Rfam says of the family: U2-30 is a member of the C/D class of snoRNA which contain the C (UGAUGA) and D (CUGA) box motifs. Lineage: Eukaryota; Metazoa; Chordata; Mammalia; Rodentia; Cricetidae. The record is from Rfam by way of RNAcentral.
GAGUAAUGAUGAAAAUGUACUACUGAAUUUUGAAAAUAGGAAGAUUUCUACAUUUAACCUGAGCUCA